This 1369-nucleotide ribosomal RNA is filed under the name Salmonella enterica subsp. enterica serovar Schwarzengrund. RNAcentral's name for it is "bacterial SSU rRNA". It matches the Rfam family "Bacterial small subunit ribosomal RNA", at positions 173 to 1533 of the family's 1533-position model. Lineage: Bacteria; Pseudomonadati; Pseudomonadota; Gammaproteobacteria; Enterobacterales; Enterobacteriaceae. The record is from RNAcentral.
GUCGCAAGACCAAAGAGGGGGACCUUCGGGCCUCUUGCCAUCAGAUGUGCCCAGAUGGGAUUAGCUUGUUGGUGAGGUAACGGCUCACCAAGGCGACGAUCCCUAGCUGGUCUGAGAGGAUGACCAGCCACACUGGAACUGAGACACGGUCCAGACUCCUACGGGAGGCAGCAGUGGGGAAUAUUGCACAAUGGGCGCAAGCCUGAUGCAGCCAUGCCGCGUGUAUGAAGAAGGCCUUCGGGUUGUAAAGUACUUUCAGCGGGGAGGAAGGUGUUGUGGUUAAUAACCGCAGCAAUUGACGUUACCCGCAGAAGAAGCACCGGCUAACUCCGUGCCAGCAGCCGCGGUAAUACGGAGGGUGCAAGCGUUAAUCGGAAUUACUGGGCGUAAAGCGCACGCAGGCGGUCUGUCAAGUCGGAUGUGAAAUCCCCGGGCUCAACCUGGGAACUGCAUUCGAAACUGGCAGGCUUGAGUCUUGUAGAGGGGGGUAGAAUUCCAGGUGUAGCGGUGAAAUGCGUAGAGAUCUGGAGGAAUACCGGUGGCGAAGGCGGCCCCCUGGACAAAGACUGACGCUCAGGUGCGAAAGCGUGGGGAGCAAACAGGAUUAGAUACCCUGGUAGUCCACGCCGUAAACGAUGUCUACUUGGAGGUUGUGCCCUUGAGGCGUGGCUUCCGGAGCUAACGCGUUAAGUAGACCGCCUGGGGAGUACGGCCGCAAGGUUAAAACUCAAAUGAAUUGACGGGGGCCCGCACAAGCGGUGGAGCAUGUGGUUUAAUUCGAUGCAACGCGAAGAACCUUACCUGGUCUUGACAUCCACGGAAGUUUUCAGAGAUGAGAAUGUGCCUUCGGGAACCGUGAGACAGGUGCUGCAUGGCUGUCGUCAGCUCGUGUUGUGAAAUGUUGGGUUAAGUCCCGCAACGAGCGCAACCCUUAUCCUUUGUUGCCAGCGGUCCGGCCGGGAACUCAAAGGAGACUGCCAGUGAUAAACUGGAGGAAGGUGGGGAUGACGUCAAGUCAUCAUGGCCCUUACGACCAGGGCUACACACGUGCUACAAUGGCGCAUACAAAGAGAAGCGACCUCGCGAGAGCAAGCGGACCUCAUAAAGUGCGUCGUAGUCCGGAUUGGAGUCUGCAACUCGACUCCAUGAAGUCGGAAUCGCUAGUAAUCGUGGAUCAGAAUGCCACGGUGAAUACGUUCCCGGGCCUUGUACACACCGCCCGUCACACCAUGGGAGUGGGUUGCAAAAGAAGUAGGUAGCUUAACCUUCGGGAGGGCGCUUACCACUUUGUGAUUCAUGACUGGGGUGAAGUCGUAACAAGGUAACCGUAGGGGAACCUGCGGUUGGAUCACCUCCUUACCUUAAAGAA